RNAcentral lists this ribosomal RNA (825 nucleotides) under Staphylococcus aureus. RNAcentral's name for it is "partial 23S ribosomal RNA". It matches the Rfam family "Bacterial large subunit ribosomal RNA", at positions 1 to 822 of the family's 2925-position model. The record is from RNAcentral. Lineage: Bacteria; Bacillati; Bacillota; Bacilli; Caryophanales; Staphylococcaceae.
AGAUUAAGUUAUUAAGGGCGCACGGUGGAUGCCUUGGCACUAGAAGCCGAUGAAGGACGUUACUAACGACGAUAUGCUUUGGGGAGCUGUAAGUAAGCUUUGAUCCAGAGAUUUCCGAAUGGGGAAACCCAGCAUGAGUUAUGUCAUGUUAUCGAUAUGUGAAUACAUAGCAUAUCAGAAGGCACACCCGGAGAACUGAAACAUCUUAGUACCCGGAGGAAGAGAAAGAAAAUUCGAUUCCCUUAGUAGCGGCGAGCGAAACGGGAAGAGCCCAAACCAACAAGCUUGCUUGUUGGGGUUGUAGGACACUCUAUACGGAGUUACAAAGGACGACAUUAGACGAAUCAUCUGGAAAGAUGAAUCAAAGAAGGUAAUAAUCCUGUAGUCGAAAAUGUUGUCUCUCUUGAGUGGAUCCUGAGUACGACGGAGCACGUGAAAUUCCGUCGGAAUCUGGGAGGACCAUCUCCUAAGGCUAAAUACUCUCUAGUGACCGAUAGUGAACCAGUACCGUGAGGGAAAGGUGAAAAGCACCCCGGAAGGGGAGUGAAAUAGAACCUGAAACCGUGUGCUUACAAGUAGUCAGAGCCCGUUAAUGGGUGAUGGCGUGCCUUUUGUAGAAUGAACCGGCGAGUUACGAUUUGAUGCAAGGUUAAGCAGUAAAUGUGGAGCCGUAGCGAAAGCGAGUCUGAAUAGGGCGUUUAGUAUUUGGUCGUAGACCCGAAACCAGGUGAUCUACCCUUGGUCAGGUUGAAGUUCAGGUAACACUGAAUGGAGGACCGAACCGACUUACGUUGAAAAGUGAGCGGAUGAACUGAGGGUAGCGGA